GGUUAAGCGACUAAGCGUACACGGUGGAUGCCCUGGCAGUCAGAGGCGAUGAAGGACGUGCUAAUCUGCGAAAAGCGUCGGUAAGGUGAUAUGAACCGUUACAGCCGGCGAUGUCCGAAUGGGGAAACCCAGUGCAAUUCGUUGCACUAUCGUUAACUGAAUACAUAGGUUAACGAGGCGAACCGGGGGAACUGAAACAUCUAAGUACCCCGAGGAAAAGAAAUCAACCGAGAUUCCCCCAGUAGCGGCGAGCGAACGGGGAGCAGCCCGGAGUCUGAAUCAGCUUGUGUGUUAGUGGAAGCGUCUGGAAAGUCGCAGGGUACAGGGUGAUACUCCCGUACACUAAAACACACAGGUUGUGAACUCGAAGAGUAGGGCGGGACACGUGGUAUCCUGUCUGAAUAUGGGGGGACCAUCCUCCAAGGCUAAAUACUCCUGACUGACCGAUAGUGAACCAGUACCGUGAGGGAAAGGCGAAAAGAACCCCGGCGAGGGGAGUGAAAAAGAACCUGAAACCGUGUACGUACAAGCAGUAGGAGCCCACUUGUGGGGUGACUGCGUACCUUUUGUAUAAUGGGUCAGCGACUUAUAUUCUGUAGCAAGGUUAACCGUAUAGGGGAGCCGCAGGGAAACCGAGUCUUAACUGGGCGUUAAGUUGCAGGGUAUAGACCCGAAACCCGGUGAUCUAGCCAUGGGCAGGUUGAAGGUUGGGUAACACUAACUGGAGGACCGAACCGACUAAUGUUGAAAAAUUAGCGGAUGACUUGUGGCUGGGGGUGAAAGGCCAAUCAAACCGGGAGAUAGCUGGUUCUCCCCGAAAGCUAUUUAGGUAGCGCCUCGUGAACUCAUCUUCGGGGGUAGAGCACUGUUUCGGCUAGGGGGUCAUCCCGACUUACCAACCCGAUGCAAACUACGAAUACCGAAGAAUGUUAUCACGGGAGACACACGGCGGGUGCUAACGUCCGUCGUGAAGAGGGAAACAACCCAGACCGCCAGCUAAGGUCCCAAAGUCAUGGUUAAGUGGGAAACGAUGUGGGAAGGCCCAGACAGCCAGGAUGUUGGCUUAGAAGCAGCCAUCAUUUAAAGAAAGCGUAAUAGCUCACUGGUCGAGUCGGCCUGCGCGGAAGAUGUAACGGGGCUAAACCAUGCACCGAAGCUGCGGCAGCGACACUAUGUGUUGUUGGGUAGGGGAGCGUUCUGUAAGCCGUUGAAGGUGGCCUGUGAGGGUUGCUGGAGGUAUCAGAAGUGCGAAUGCUGACAUAAGUAACGAUAAUGCGGGUGAAAAACCCGCACGCCGGAAGACCAAGGGUUCCUGUCCAACGUUAAUCGGGGCAGGGUGAGUCGACCCCUAAGGCGAGGCCGAAAGGCGUAGUCGAUGGGAAACAGGUUAAUAUUCCUGUACUCGGUGUUACUGCGAAGGGGGGACGGAGAAGGCUAUGUUGGCCGGGCGACGGUUGUCCCGGUUUAAGCAUGUAGGCGGAUGUUCCAGGUAAAUCCGGAACGUUAUUAACGCUGAGGUGUGAUGACGAGGCACUACGGUGCUGAAGUGACAAAUGCCCUGCUUCCAGGAAAAGCCUCUAAGCAUCAGGUAACAUCAAAUCGUACCCCAAACCGACACAGGUGGUCAGGUAGAGAAUACCAAGGCGCUUGAGAGAACUCGGGUGAAGGAACUAGGCAAAAUGGUGCCGUAACUUCGGGAGAAGGCACGCUGAUGGUAGGUGAAGUGACUUGCUCAUGGAGCUGAAAUCAGUCGAAGAUACCAGCUGGCUGCAACUGUUUAUUAAAAACACAGCACUGUGCAAACACGAAAGUGGACGUAUACGGUGUGACGCCUGCCCGGUGCCGGAAGGUUAAUUGAUGGGGUUAUCCGUAAGGAGAAGCUCUUGAUCGAAGCCCCGGUAAACGGCGGCCGUAACUAUAACGGUCCUAAGGUAGCGAAAUUCCUUGUCGGGUAAGUUCCGACCUGCACGAAUGGCGUAAUGAUGGCCAGGCUGUCUCCACCCGAGACUCAGUGAAAUUGAACUCGCUGUGAAGAUGCAGUGUACCCGCGGCAAGACGGAAAGACCCCGUGAACCUUUACUAUAGCUUGACACUGAACACUGGUCCUUGAUGUGUAGGAUAGGUGGGAGGCUUUGAAGUGUGGACGCCAGUCUGCAUGGAGCCAUCCUUGAAAUACCACCCUUUAAUGGCUGGUGUUCUAACGUGGGCCCCUAAUCGGGGUUGCGGACAGUGUCUGGUGGGUAGUUUGACUGGGGCGGUCUCCUCCUAAAGAGUAACGGAGGAGCACGAAGGUCAGCUAAUCCUGGUCGGACAUCAGGAGGUUAGUGCAAUGGCAUAAGCUGGCUUGACUGCGAGCGUGACGGCGCGAGCAGGUGCGAAAGCAGGUCAUAGUGAUCCGGUGGUUCUGAAUGGAAGGGCCAUCGCUCAACGGAUAAAAGGUACUCCGGGGAUAACAGGCUGAUACCGCCCAAGAGUUCAUAUCGACGGCGGUGUUUGGCACCUCGAUGUCGGCUCAUCACAUCCUGGGGCUGAAGUAGGUCCCAAGGGUAUGGCUGUUCGCCAUUUAAAGUGGUACGCGAGCUGGGUUUAGAACGUCGUGAGACAGUUCGGUCCCUAUCUGCCGUGGGCGCUGGAGAAUUGAGGGGGGCUGCUCCUAGUACGAGAGGACCGGAGUGGACGCAUCACUGGUGUUCGGGUUGUCAUGCCAAUGGCAUUGCCCGGUAGCUAAAUGCGGAAGAGAUAAGUGCUGAAAGCAUCUAAGCACGAAACUUGCCCCGAGAUGAGUUCUCCCUGACCCUUUAAGGGUCCUGAAGGAACGUUGAAGACGACGACGUUGAUAGGCCGGGUGUGUAAGCGCAGCGAUGCGUUGAGCUAACCGGUACUAAUGAACCGUGAGGCUUAACCUU
Molecule: ribosomal RNA, 2906 nt
Filed under: Klebsiella michiganensis
Lineage: Bacteria; Pseudomonadati; Pseudomonadota; Gammaproteobacteria; Enterobacterales; Enterobacteriaceae
Description: 23S ribosomal RNA
Rfam family: Bacterial large subunit ribosomal RNA
Source: RNAcentral